GUAGGUGGCAAGCGUUGUCCGGAAUUAUUGGGCGUAAAGCGCGCGCAGGCGGUUCUUUAAGUCUGAUGUGAAAGCCCACGGCUCAACCGUGGAGGGUCAUUGGAAACUGGAGAACUUGAGUACAGAAGAGGAAAGCGGAAUUCCACGUGUAGCGGUGAAAUGCGUAGAGAUGUGGAGGAACACCAGUGGCGAAGGCGGCUUUCUGGUCUGUAACUGACGCUGAGGCGCGAAAGCGUGGGGAGCAAACAGGAUUAGAUACCCUGGUAGUCCACGCCGUAAACGAUGAGUGCUAAGUGUUAGGGGGUUUCCGCCCCCCUUAGUGCUGCAGCUAACGCAUUAAGCACUCCGGCUGGGAGUACGGCCGCAAGGCUG
RNAcentral lists this ribosomal RNA (372 nucleotides) under uncultured organism. RNAcentral describes it as "partial 16S ribosomal RNA". It matches the Rfam family "Bacterial small subunit ribosomal RNA", at positions 527 to 896 of the family's 1533-position model. The record is from RNAcentral.